UACGGAGGAUGCAAGCGUUAUCCGGAUUUAUUGGGUUUAAAGGGUGCGCAGGUUGUUUGAUAAGUCAGUGGUGAAAGUCUGUCGCUUAACGGUAGGAUUGCCAUUGAUACUGUUGGACUUGAAUAUGGAUGAGGUAGGCGGAAUGUGUAGUGUAGCGGUGAAAUGCAUAGAUAUUACACAGAACACCGAUUGCGAAGGCAGCUUACUAAUCCAUCAUUGACGCUGAGGCACGAAAGCGUGGGGAGUGAACA
This 251-nucleotide ribosomal RNA is filed under the name uncultured prokaryote. Its description in RNAcentral is "partial 16S ribosomal RNA". It matches the Rfam family "Bacterial small subunit ribosomal RNA", at positions 524 to 774 of the family's 1533-position model. The record is from RNAcentral.